ACUGUGGGCCAGGCUGUUAAUUAAUGAGGUUUAAUUAAUGAACUCUCAGUGGUUGUGGGGCCGGGCGCGGGCGCGGCCGCGGGGCGCAGGCAGUGACUGUGGGGCCAGGCCGUUAAUUAACGAGGUUUAAUUAAUGAAGCCUCAGUGGUUGUGGGGCCGGGCGCGGGCACGGCCGCGGGGCGCAGGCAGUGACUGUGGGGCCAGGCUGUUAAUUAAGGAGGUUUAAUUAAUGAACCAAUGCCCUCAGUGGUUGUGGGGCCGGGCGCGGCCGCGGGGCGCAGGCAGUGACUGUGGGCCAGGCCGUUAAUUAAUGAGGUUUAAUUAAUGAACUCUCAGUGGUUGUGGGGCCGGGCGCGGGCGCGGCCGCGGGGCGCAGGCAGUGACUGUGGGCCAGGCUGUUAAUUAACAAGGUUUAAUUAA
Molecule: long non-coding RNA, 420 nt
Organism: Poecile atricapillus (Black-capped chickadee)
Lineage: Eukaryota; Metazoa; Chordata; Aves; Passeriformes; Paridae
Exons: 3
Source: RefSeq, a predicted model, not a curated record